This 907-nucleotide long non-coding RNA is filed under the name Gossypium barbadense (sea-island cotton). Its description in RNAcentral is "long non-coding RNA (GBAR_LNC022114)". The record is from RNAcentral. Lineage: Eukaryota; Viridiplantae; Streptophyta; Magnoliopsida; Malvales; Malvaceae.
AAAAAACCUAAAACUAUAACCCUCAGCGCCGCUUCGCAGACCGAUCCCUCAAAGACUCUCCGAUCCCUCGCCCGACCUCCGAUUACGACGGAGAAGACAAGGAUUCGGCUCCGCAACAAAGGUAAACUCCUCACUCUUCCUCUGUUUCCUUUUUCAACAGUAAAUAAAAGGAAAAAAAAAAGAUCAAAGAAUCUCUAAUGAAAAAAGUGAGAUAAAGAAAAAACUCCAAAUCACCUUCUUCGAACUGGUUUCUUUUUUUUUUUCAAUUUCUUUGUAUUUCAGUGUGCCUGUGCGUUUUUACAUUCAAUCUUUGUGUCUGUCUUACAAAACGCUGAAGAAUGGCUUUAUAUAGCCAAAACUAAAAUGAAAAUUACAAAACAAAAAAAAUGAAAUUUUGUUUUUUCUUAUUUCCUUUUUCUUUUUGCUGCUUCUGUUGCGUUGCUCGUUUUUGUCCUUUGCAGGUGUCGUACGAAGCAAUAGACGUGUGCGUACGGAGGCUCGCGCGAGUGGCAGUGGCGCGCAUGCGAGGCCAGAGGUUGAUUGCGGCUUGAUGGCUUUGGGCAGGGGCAUGAGGCGCUAAAGGCUCCUGCUAGGUUUUUUUGCUGCAAAAUUUUUUUAGUUUUGUGGGCUGUUUGGGCUUUAGGGGUAGGUUUGGGCUUGUUUGUAAAUGGACUUUUUAUUUUGGGGUUUAUUUUUGUUUUGUUAUUUGGGCCCCGGGCAGAAAUUGGGCCCUACAAAGUUGAUAAAAUUUAUGUACCAAAUUGAAUAUUAAAGCUAAAACUAGAUACCAAAAUGAGACAAAAAAAAAGUACUAAUGUAGUAACCCGUCAAAUAAUCAUCUUUCAAUAUUUACAUGAUCCUGUUUCAAUAGUUCCCUAUGUACUAUCAUUUUUAGAAGUAUUCAUGG